GUAAUGCUUGGGAAUCUAGCUUAUGAGGGGGGAUAACUACGGGAAACUGUAGCUAAUACCGCGUAAUAUCGAAAGAUUAAAGUGUGGGACCUUCGGGCCACAUGCCAUAGGAUGAGCCCAAGUGGGAUUAGGUAGUUGGUGAGGUAAAGGCUCACCAAGCCGACGAUCUCUAGCUGGUCUGAGAGGAUGACCAGCCACACUGGGACUGAGACACGGCCCAG
This 221-nucleotide ribosomal RNA is filed under the name uncultured bacterium. Its description in RNAcentral is "partial 16S ribosomal RNA". It matches the Rfam family "Bacterial small subunit ribosomal RNA", at positions 110 to 334 of the family's 1533-position model. The record is from RNAcentral.